UAAAAUUUUAUUUUUGUUUGGAAAAUUAAAUUAAAUUUUGUAUUUAUAUGUAAAUUUUAGUAUGAAUUAAAUUAUUUUUUUAAUAAAAAUAAGUAAAAUUAUAUUCGCAGUAAAUUAUUUUAAAAAUUAAUGAAAAUUAGAUUUAGCUAUAUUUAUAAUAUUAACUAAAUUUGUGCCAGCAGUUGCGGUUAUACAAAUAAUAUAAUUUAAUUUUUAUUAGCAUUAAUAUAUUUUUAAUAGAAAAUUUUUAUAGGAAAUUUAUUAGGUGAAAUUUUAAAUUUUUAAAAGAAUUUGUUUAUAUUGAUUAAUUAAUAAAUUUAGAAAUAAACUAGGAUUAGAUACCCUAUUAUUAUAAAUGUAAAAUUAAGCUAGAUUAGUAUUAGUUUAUGUUUUUGAAAAUUAAAAAAUUUGGCGGUUUUUUAGUCUAUUCAGAGGAACCUGUUUUGUAAUCGAUAGUCCACGUUUUAUUUAACCUUUAUUAUAAAUUUAUAUAUCGUCGUAGUUUGAAUAUUUUAAAAGAAUUUUAAUAUUCAGGAUUUAUUAUUUAAAGAAAAUCAGAUCAAGGUAUAGUUAAUAUAAAGGUAGUAAUGGGUUACAUUAAUUUUAAUUAAGGAUAAUUUAUUUAAAAUAAAUUUGAAUAAGGAUUUGAAAGUAAUUUUUUAAGAUUUAAAAAAUGAUUUUAGCUCUAAAAUAUGUACAUAUCGCCCGUCGCUUUCACUUUAAGGUGAAAUAAGUCGUAACAAAGUAGGCUUACUGGAAAGUGUGCCUAGAAAGA
This 775-nucleotide non-coding RNA is filed under the name Anoplophora horsfieldii. The record is from RNAcentral. Lineage: Eukaryota; Metazoa; Arthropoda; Insecta; Coleoptera; Cerambycidae.